AACGGCCGCGGUACCCUAACCGUGCGAAGGUAGCAUAAUCACUUGUUCUUUAAAUAGGGACUCGUAUCAACGGCAUCACGAGGGCUAUACUGUCUCCUUUCUCUAAUCAGUGAAACUGAUCUCCUCGUGAAGAAGCGAGGAUAGUUUUAUAAGACGAGAAGACCCCAUGGAGCUUUAAACCCAAUGUACAUCUCUACGCAUAUAAGCCCCAAUAGCCCAAGAAAAUUGUAUGUUGGUUUUGGGUUGGGGGGACCGCGGAGAAAAAAUUAACCUCCACGACAAACGGGCCUAUGCCCUUAUCCAUGAGCUACCACUCUAAGAAUCAAUAAACUGAUGUUCAGUGACCCAAUUUAUUGAUCAACGAACCAAGUUACCCUGGGGAUAACAGCGCAAUCUACUUCAAGAGCCCCUAUCGACAAGUAGGUUUACGACCUCGAUGUUGGAUCAGGGUAUCCUAGU
This 459-nucleotide ribosomal RNA is filed under the name Pelophylax saharicus (Sahara frog). RNAcentral describes it as "partial 16S ribosomal RNA". It matches the Rfam family "Bacterial large subunit ribosomal RNA", at positions 1926 to 2551 of the family's 2925-position model. The record is from RNAcentral. Lineage: Eukaryota; Metazoa; Chordata; Amphibia; Anura; Ranidae.